GUGCUCACUUCAGCAGCACAUAUACAAAAAUUGGAACUAUACAGAGAAGAUUAGCAUGGCCCCAUGCAAGGAUGACACACAAAUUCAUGAAGCAUUCCAUGUUUUU
This 106-nucleotide small nuclear RNA is filed under the name Physeter macrocephalus (sperm whale). The record is from RNAcentral. Lineage: Eukaryota; Metazoa; Chordata; Mammalia; Artiodactyla; Physeteridae.